UGUCAUACAUGCUUCAAGUCGAACGCACCUAUUUUUUUCCUCUGAGAAUUUUCGAGAGAAGCCAGUGGAAACUGGAUUUUCCAUGUUGGACCACACGUGUCUCAGAAGAAAUAGAGUGAUACAGAGUUCAGUCAAGUUGAUUAAAAGCUGUUCGUUCACCAACUGAACCAAACCGGAUUUUUACCUCACCUUUUUACCGUCACUUCACAGAGCCAGAUAUAGCCGACUGACAAUGAGAUCAAUGUUGUUCAGAGUGUCAAGUUGGGCAUCUUGUCAAUCAGCGAGGACACCAGACAAGAUUGUGCCUUCCCAGACGACUUUGUGAAUAUGGCUGUGAUACUGGAAGGGGAAAUUUUCAUUGUGUAUCUCCAAGACAUUCCAAAUGCCUUCGUCACAUUGUUUGGACUGCUUUACACUUUAAACAUCAACUAUCCCAAAGAGCUGCGAUACACCUUUGAUGUGAUCCAGUGGAUCUUCAUGAACAUUGAUGGGGAAAGGUGCUCCGCAAAAGUUCAUGGACUAAAAACAAACUAAUGCGGUGAAGUGCCUGCAACCAUUGCUAUUUCCUUUUUUUUUUUUUUUAGUUUAAUUGAUGAAUUUGUUAAAGCAUCAGCUAAGUUUAGAUUAAAGUGGUAUGAAACCAAUUCAUACGUCUUUUAAUGUCUUAAUGCUUUUCAGAGUUUCUUUUUGAAACGAAUGUUGUGAACAGGAUAUUUCUAUAUGAAUCUAUAUGGGAAUGCCAUUUUAAAGUGUUUAGUUUAAUUGAUGAAUUUGUUGAGGCUUGAGAGCAUAAAUAAUUGAUAACUUAGUUUAUAUUAAAAAAGCAUUUAAGCCAAUUCAUAGAUCUAUAAUGCGUUUAACAAUGUUUAAACAUUUUCUUUUGGAACGAAGGAUGUUUCUAUAUUGAAUGCUGUGGGGUGAUCUUGUUUAAUGUUAUAUAACAGAUUAAUCCAAAAAACGUGCAUUGAGACAGGUGUAAAACACCUUUCAAUGAGGUUGGUGUUCUUAGGAGUUUAUUGCAAUACAUUUUGUUGAAAAUUAUAUUUGUGAUCGGUAAUUUGCCAUACAUUUGUUUUAAUGAAAUGUAUUUUACAAAUUAAUGUUCCAAGUAGUAAUUCAUUAUUUGGUACUUCUGCAGGUUUUAAAGUUUCAUAACACCACUUUAGUUGGCUGAACUUACUGGGUGUAGUUUAGAAAACACAGCUUUAGUUGGCUGAACUUACUGGAUGUAGUUUAGAAAACACAGCUUUAGUUGGCUGAACUUACUGGGUGUAGUUUAGAUGACUUAACUUUAGUUGGCUGAACUUAAGUUCUAAGUUUACUUAACUAAAUUAAAUCAGUUCAUUGUACUUUAUAACUUGUCAGGUCAACCUUUCCAAAUUUGUCAGAUACACUUUUCCAAAUAAGUUAGUUUAACUCAAAAAAAAAACAAUGCAAAAAGAUA
Molecule: long non-coding RNA, 1444 nt
Organism: Carassius carassius (crucian carp)
Lineage: Eukaryota; Metazoa; Chordata; Actinopteri; Cypriniformes; Cyprinidae
Exons: 3
Source: RefSeq, a predicted model, not a curated record